AUGCCCAGGGCAUCUACCCAGAGGCAUUCUCCCCCCAAAUCUGCAGGUUUGGAGGUGCGGGGGGGGGGCAGAAGAUCUAUUGUGAGGAAGCCAAGAAGCAGAUGUCUGCCUCCCCUGCUCCCUCCCACAGGGCAAGGAUGUGAAACUAACCCAGAGUGGACGGUGAAGUGCAACUGCCGGGUGUUCUUCCAGUUCUGGAGAAUGCACAGCUUCCUGCUCAAUGCCAGCUGGACCUUCUUCCUAGAGAGAAGCAACUGCUGUCGGACACAUUGCUGGGGAAAGCCAGACAUGAGCCUCCUUCAGCACCGGACACAGCCUAGGAUCCUGCUGGGCUCAGGACCUCCCCUCCCAUCUCUAGUCCCACGAGGAAUGUUUGUUCCCGUUCUCUGCUGGGGGAGUUUUUUCAUGGCGGGGCCUCAUCCUCGACGAAGCUGUGGGACUCAGAGCCAGGCUCUGUGUGGCCCGACGAUCCUGCUGACCCUGGCCUCCUGCAGACCAUGGGCCGCCAUACCCCUGGCCGCAUUUCCAGCUUUUCAAGUGGGAAGAAACCACCCCGUGUCCCAGGACUUGCACUUCUGUGGGCCAUCCUCAGCAAGACAUUUUCAUGGAUAUGAAACUGGACACCGAGUUGACGCUGAAGUUCAGCUGCUGGGUCAUCUUCCAUUUCUGGAGCCUGCUCAGCUUCCUUGUAAAACCCGGCUGGGCUUUCACCCUGGACAGGAGCAACUGGUUCUACGGGACUUCACCAUGCUGCUGCUCAUGGUGGGCAACCUGAUCAACAUCCCUAGGGCAUCACCUUCUUCAGGAGGAGACCACUGCCCCCUGGAUUGUCUUCAGCGUGGUCUCUGA
RNAcentral lists this long non-coding RNA (849 nucleotides) under Oryctolagus cuniculus (rabbit). RNAcentral's name for it is "lncRNA (ENSOCUG00000033680.1)". The record is from RNAcentral. Lineage: Eukaryota; Metazoa; Chordata; Mammalia; Lagomorpha; Leporidae.